AAAAAAGUUAAUAUAAAAAAGUGAACAUUUAUUUUCAAAUAUUUUUUAUUGAAAGAUUUUUUGUAAAAUAAAAAAGGAGGACACACUGUUCACAAAUAAAGCACUAUAACAAGCUAACCUGCUUAAAGGGACACUUUUUUUUUCCAUUUAAUACAUUUUGGCCUCAUUAAUAAUUUGUAUAUUUUGCAUGCUCAAAUCUUUAUAGUUUUUUUGCACAAAAAAUAAUUUCUUAUCAAAUAUAAACACAGUUUCAGUCCGAACAGCACUGAUUGGGCUGCUUUUAAGUCAUAAGACUGGCUGCCAGUCAGUCAGAGAAACUAUACACAGGUAGUGAUAACCUUACUAUAUCUCUACCUGGAUGUCCUCUCCUUCUAAUGCAGGUUACUUUCUUCAGAUCAUUCAGUACUGUCAUUUGCUGAGUGGUGUGCAUAUCUUGGAUAAGGUAGAAUUUUUCUGAAGUGAUGGGCACUCCCCUUUAGCCCUGCGUUAAAGAGACAGGCUAACAAUGCAGCAUUCUGCAAGAAAAUGUUUGUGUGUGUGCAAAAACGGUAAAGGCUCAAGAAUGGAAAAAAAUACAGCAUAUUAAGGAGGCCAAAGCCUACCAAAUGCAUUAAGCUGUACUGGUGCCAGGAAUGUCCCUUUAACAGAGCCAAUCCUGGAUGGGUGUAAAGAGCCGAAUCGGCAUCCUCAUGUUAGGUGCUGGGUGGUAUAGCUGGAACCUCGGGAUCAGUGAUACGCUGUAAGGUGUUUGGUGUGUUCCUUUAAUAGAGCUCAUUGAGAGAUGUUUGCAAGGUAGGUGCUCUAAAGGAAUGUCAUGCCUCGUGAAUUUAGAUCCAUGGAGUUAAACUGCAACAACAAGUAACAGGACCCAAUGCAAGCAAAAUGAAGGCUAAACAAAUUUAGUUUGGAAACAUAUCAAGGGAAUGGCAUUCCCUCUGAUUAUGAUAAACCUUGAGAUAUCGUAAUGAAAUAUGUAGACACAGAGGGCCUGGCCAGAUCCCUGGAGUGGUGACUGGAGAAGAGCGUCAAUGUAUGAAGACAUAGGUAACUGGGAGAGACAGUGGUAAGUGGGACUUUGGUUGAAUUAUCCUAAUGCCCUGAUUUACAAACAAAAAUAAAGUUAUUCCUUGAAUGUAAGGGGUUGGGAGCUGAACAACCAUGUAUGUGCAUUGCAAUUCAUACUAAGCACAAUUUGAAACAAACAUGAUGAGGUAGGUAGGUCUUCAGUGUGACAGUCAAUAUAGUUUUUCUAGGUAAAUAAUAAUAAGCA
Pelobates cultripes (western spadefoot toad) is the source of this 1270-nucleotide non-coding RNA. The record is from the annotation of a GenBank genome assembly. NCBI's taxonomy places the organism in Eukaryota, Metazoa, Chordata, Amphibia, Anura, Pelobatidae.